This 633-nucleotide long non-coding RNA is filed under the name Vigna radiata. Its description in RNAcentral is "long non-coding RNA (VRAD_LNC011500)". The record is from RNAcentral. Lineage: Eukaryota; Viridiplantae; Streptophyta; Magnoliopsida; Fabales; Fabaceae.
UUAAUAAUCCUGGAAAGGUCGGAGUUCACCAUCUUGGACCUUGGCAGCAGGUAACCCUUCUUCUUCUCACUGGGCUUAUCAAAGGACCCAUAAAUGGAGUCCAGUUUCUCAAAAGCAGACUUGGUCCAAAUCACAAAACGCCCAAGGUGACCACCGGGAGCGAGCUUAAGAAGGUUGAGCCUCUCAACAUUGGCCACCUCAACGCCAGGGACGUUACGGAAAGCCUUAACAGCUUUAGCUCCUUCUGUUCCGUAAACGAUUAGUGGACCCUUUCGGGAGAUGUAGCGACGGUUGCGCAUUUUUCCCUUUCCAGGACGAAUGCCGUGGCUGUCUUUCGCCUUCUCGGCGUCAGGGAAGGCGCCAAUCUGUUUCAGGACUUUGAUUGCUUCCUUGGUUUUCUCGACUCCUUCAGCAGAGUCGCUAAUAACGAGGGGGAGUUCCGGGACGGUCUCGAUGCGGUGGCCGCGGGCAAGGACGAGAGAAGGGAUGGCGGAGGCAGAGAUGGCAGAGACAACGGCGUAGCGCUUCUGGUUGACGUUGAUCUUGCGGUGCCAGCGGCGCCAGAUCUUGGUCGGAGCAAACAUGCGGCCACCUCGGCACAUGUUGCCGAAGGCUCCCUGGCCGGCACGGUGG